Long non-coding RNA from Helianthus annuus (common sunflower), 675 nucleotides. RefSeq lists it as uncharacterized. The record is from RefSeq and is a predicted model, not a curated record. The transcript is spliced from 4 exons. NCBI's taxonomy places the organism in Eukaryota, Viridiplantae, Streptophyta, Magnoliopsida, Asterales, Asteraceae.
CAACGACGCAUCUUCUUCCCCACGAUUCUCCACAGCCGACACAUCUUCUUCCCAUCGAUUCUCCACAGCAUUUGUGCAAGAUAGAUUCAAAAGGCAAAGCAAGAAAGGUUGUUGGAUGCUCAUGCCUUGUUGUGAAGGAUUAUAGAGAGGAAAGUGAAGGUUUACACAUUGUCCAGGAGUAUGUCAAGUCUCACUAGAUAUGUAACAAGUGAUCAAAGUAUUUCAUGUGUGACUGUUUAUCGACUCUUUUUACUGGGAUGAACAUUUCUUGUAGCAAAUUUUGGAUCAUUAAAACGAAUUCUCUCUUUAUAUAAUGUUGGGUUCAUUAACUAUUAUCUUUUCAAAUACAUGUAAAAGGGUAAAGUUAGGCUAUCUCACGAACCUGAGAAAGCCAAUGAACACUAAAAGAGGAGUGGACAAGGUGCAAACUUUUGUCCGGAAAAAGUCUACCGUAAAAGGAACCAGGAACGGCUGAAACAAUACAAGGGCCAACGUUUUCUCCCUUCUCCCUCUUCAGCUUUGCAUAAAAUUCGGACCUCAAUGACUAUAUCAAUUAUAUUAGAUGCAACCAAGAGCGUGUUUCUACUAGAGCCGCAUCCUAAAUCUGCAAUCUUGAAACAACCGUCUAAAAAGAUAUCACGGCUUGCAAUACCCUUGAUUGUAUGAUUAAGACAU